GAUGAACGCUGGCGGCGUGCCUAAUACAUGCAAGUCGAGCGAACAGAUAAGGAGCUUGCUCCUUUGACGUUAGCGGCGGACGGGUGAGUAACACGUGGGUAACCUACCUAUAAGACUGGGAUAACUUCGGGAAACCGGAGCUAAUACCGGAUAAUAUUUCGAACCGCAUGGUUCGAUAGUGAAAGAUGGUUUUGCUAUCACUUCUAGAUGGACCCGCGCCGUAUUGGCUAGUUGGUAAGGUAACGGCUUACCAAGGCGACGAUACGUAGCCGACCUGAGAGGGUGAUCGGCCACACUGGAACUGAGACACGGUCCAGACUCCUACGGGAGGCAGCAGUAGGGAAUCUUCCGCAAUGGGCGAAAGCCUGACGGAGCAACGCCGCGUGAGUGAUGAAGGUCUUCGGAUCGUAAAACUCUGUUAUUAGGGAAGAACAUACGUGUAAGUAACUGUGCACGUCUUGACGGUACCUAAUCAGAAAGCCACGGCUAACUACGUG
Molecule: ribosomal RNA, 497 nt
Filed under: uncultured bacterium
Lineage: Bacteria
Description: partial 16S ribosomal RNA
Rfam family: Bacterial small subunit ribosomal RNA
Source: RNAcentral